CUGCUAUUGGUGAACGAUUCCCAUGAAAAUCAGGCCACACAUGAAGAUCUUUUGUUAAAAAGUUUACAUCACUUAAUCUUCUGGACUUAGCCAUCCCUUGAAGUAAUUUUCGUAAAUGCAUCCUUAAGCUGUAAAAUAUGAGAUACAUUACAAUUGAAGUGUGUUCAUCAGAAGUUCCAGAAAAUAAACCAUUGGCUCUGAAGUCUUACUUAUUUCAUGAGGCCCUUAUGGAUAAAAUACAGCAACUUCAUGGUGAUUUUGGUAUUGCUGCUGUUAGAACAGAAACAUCAAAGGAGCUAUUUAGAUUUAAUGUGGUCAAAGCUUAAGACUGAUGAUGAAAGAAAAGCACUAGAAGCAGCUGUUUUAGAUUUCACAAAAACAGAUGUGUCUCUGAAUAAAGAAGGCCUUUUAA
Leptidea sinapis is the source of this 412-nucleotide long non-coding RNA. RefSeq lists it as uncharacterized. Lineage: Eukaryota; Metazoa; Arthropoda; Insecta; Lepidoptera; Pieridae. The record is from RefSeq and is a predicted model, not a curated record. The transcript is spliced from 3 exons.